This 983-nucleotide ribosomal RNA is filed under the name Aspergillus nomiae. Its description in RNAcentral is "SSU rRNA". It matches the Rfam family "Eukaryotic small subunit ribosomal RNA", at positions 64 to 1054 of the family's 1831-position model. The record is from RNAcentral. Lineage: Eukaryota; Fungi; Ascomycota; Eurotiomycetes; Eurotiales; Aspergillaceae.
UAUAAGCACUUUAUACUGUGAAACUGCGAAUGGCUCAUUAAAUCAGUUAUCGUUUAUUUGAUAGUACCUUACUACAUGGAUACCUGUGGUAAUUCUAGAGCUAAUACAUGCUAAAAACCUCGACUUCGGAAGGGGUGUAUUUAUUAGAUAAAAAACCAAUGCCCUUCGGGGCUCCUUGGUGAUUCAUAAUAACUUAACGAAUCGCAUGGCCUUGCGCCGGCGAUGGUUCAUUCAAAUUUCUGCCCUAUCAACUUUCGAUGGUAGGAUAGUGGCCUACCAUGGUGGCAACGGGUAACGGGGAAUUAGGGUUCGAUUCCGGAGAGGGAGCCUGAGAAACGGCUACCACAUCCAAGGAAGGCAGCAGGCGCGCAAAUUACCCAAUCCCGACACGGGGAGGUAGUGACAAUAAAUACUGAUACGGGGCUCUUUUGGGUCUCGUAAUUGGAAUGAGUACAAUCUAAAUCCCUUAACGAGGAACAAUUGGAGGGCAAGUCUGGUGCCAGCAGCCGCGGUAAUUCCAGCUCCAAUAGCGUAUAUUAAAGUUGUUGCAGUUAAAAAGCUCGUAGUUGAACCUUGGGUCUGGCUGGCCGGUCCGCCUCACCGCGAGUACUGGUCCGGCUGGACCUUUCCUUCUGGGGAACCCCAUGGCCUUCACUGGCUGUGGGGGGAACCAGGACUUUUACUGUGAAAAAAUUAGAGUGUUCAAAGCAGGCCUUUGCUCGAAUACAUUAGCAUGGAAUAAUAGAAUAGGACGUGCGGUUCUAUUUUGUUGGUUUCUAGGACCGCCGUAAUGAUUAAUAGGGAUAGUCGGGGGCGUCAGUAUUCAGCUGUCAGAGGUGAAAUUUCCUUGGAUUUGCUGAAGACUAACUACUGCGAAAGCNUUCGCCAAGGAUGUUUUCAUUAAUCAGGGANCGAAAGUUAGGGGAUCGAAGACNAUCAGAUACCGUCGUAGUCUUAACCAUAAACUAUGCCGACUAGGGAUC